RNAcentral lists this ribosomal RNA (616 nucleotides) under uncultured bacterium. RNAcentral describes it as "bacterial SSU rRNA". The stretch from base 1 to 523 matches the Rfam family "Bacterial small subunit ribosomal RNA", at positions 338 to 873 of the family's 1533-position model. The record is from RNAcentral.
CCUACGGGAGGCAGCAGUGGGGAAUAUUGCACAAUGGGCGCAAGCCUGAUGCAGCAACGCCGCGUGAGGGACGACGGCCUUCGGGUUGUAAACCUCUUUUAGUAGGGAAGAAGCGAAAGUGACGGUACCUGCAGAAAAAGCACCGGCUAACUACGUGCCAGCAGCCGCGGUAAUACGUAGGGUGCAAGCGUUAUCCGGAAUUAUUGGGCGUAAAGAGCUCGUAGGCGGUUUGUCGCGUCUGCUGUGAAAACUGGAGGCUCAACCUCCAGCCUGCAGUGGGUACGGGCAGACUAGAGUGCGGUAGGGGAGAUUGGAAUUCCUGGUGUAGCGGUGGAAUGCGCAGAUAUCAGGAGGAACACCGAUGGCGAAGGCAGAUCUCUGGGCCGUAACUGACGCUGAGGAGCGAAAGCAUGGGGAGCGAACAGGAUUAGAUACCCUGGUAGUCCAUGCCGUAAACGUUGGGAACUAGAUGUAGGGACCAUUCCACGGUUUCUGUGUCGCAGCUACGACAUAAGUUCCCGUCCGUCGGGUAGGUACGGCCGCGAGGACGUAAACGUAACUAAUAGUUAAGUUAGUACGCGUUGAGACGNGCGACGGACGACGACGAGGGAGGAGG